CAUAAUUGACAUUUGAAAUCAUGGCAGAAAGAAGUGAAACAAGCUCUGAAUUUGAAAUUAUCUGGAAGGAUACAUAUGAUAGCCCUGCUGGAUGGCUGGAGACUCGUGACGAACUUGACCAAAGAGCGAACAAGCCAUAUUUCAAAGGAAAGGCCAAUAAAAUACUGAAUCAAGGUAAUCGGCGACUGAUAAAAUUCUACGGCUUUUACUAUACUGGAGAGAAUGUGAUGGCCCAAGUUACCAGCUGCGAGGGUAAACACUCACCACCCAUAUUCCUUCAUCAAAAGAGAUCAGGUGAAUCAAAAGAUCCUAAAAAAUUCACAGUGAAAGUCGAUAUUACUGACGCCAAAGAAAAGAAAGGAAAAUGGAAAUUGUCUGUAUAUGUAUAUUACGUCGUCGGCAAACCACUUACUUCGGAGAGAGAGAUAACUGAUGAAGAUUAAGCGACGAACCUGAUACGUCGACCAUAUUACUCCAAUUGAGUCUGAUCACGUAUAAUCGACUUAUCUUUCUAUACUUUCUCUUCAUCUUUCAUUUACCUUUACUAUUGUAAUCAACUAAUCUUUAAGUUCAAUUGAAUAUAUAGGUCUGUAUAUAUACGAUCCGUUCUGUAUUUCCUGAUUCAAUCUAAUACAAGAAAAACAGGCGGAGAAAAAAUUACUCCUUUGACAACAAAAAUCGUCUGAUCCUCAAGUAAAACAAACACAAAAACAACCAAGAAGUAUCUUGCUAGUCUAGAAACAUAAAGAGUAAAUAAUCUAUUCAUUGCACGAUUGUCUUUUGUUGUUCUCAUUUCUAUAAAAAUUUAAUCCCAAUGAUAAUGCUUUUGUAACUUCAGAUAUUAAAUUUGGGACCAUGAAACUAGGGGGAUAUUUUUUUUAAAUCAAGUGGAGCAAAACUGUGUCUAAUCCGAAAUGGGUGGAGUGAGCCCCGCUGGUAAUCUGAAUUUACAUUUAACAGGGGCCGCGGAACCGGGGGGGGGGGGGGGGGCUUCGGCCCCCACUUUUUUCCAAACCGUGUACAAAAAUGUAAAAAUGACCAUAUGAUUGUGAUUUUUAGCAUGGUCAGCCCCCCACUUUUGGCUCAGCCCCCCCCACCACUUUGAAAACCGUUUAAUAGAGCCAUGCUGUGGUUUAUUUUCUUAUUGAUUUUAGCUUUUAAUACGUAGCUUUUUUAUGUCAGCUUUUACCUGAUUUAUUGACCAAGUUACAAAUGAGUUGAGGGGAACGGUAUUGUUCAUGAUGAAUCUUUAAACGUGUCGAAGUGUAUUGAUAUUCCUUGAUAGUGGAAUAUAUAUGAAACUCUAAGACUUUAUGGCUAUAUUCCAUUUUUAUUAGGCUCUUUUGUAAAUUUGAAUCGGUAGUAUGUGAAAGGGAGGAAAUAAAAAUAAUCAUAACGUGUAAUGAAAUCCAUGCAUCAUGCUUUUAGAAAGUAAUUGAUAACAUCGAAAUGAACUUUUUCUAGGACAUAAAAUUUAAAUUAUUUUUCAAACAAUAUGAUUUUGUUUACUUUUGGGGCAGUUCACUCUCCACAGAGAAAAACUUUAAAAGAUCUAAAUGAAGAAAUCAGUUUGCAUCCUCAGCAACUCGUUUAUGCACACCGUAAAAACGCGGUUUAAAUUUGUGAUAUUUGAACUUGAGUUGAUAACUUUUACGCACAUAAGUCAUUCUGGAUGGAUGAUAAAGACAAUCGAAAAAUUACUGAAAUAUCUAUUUGCAGAAUCUUCAUUUUCUUAUAUCGGUGAUUGUUAAAUAUAGAUUUAUUUUAUUCAAGAUACUAACAAUUUGCUUGAUUUAUCGUACAAAGGUGAUAUAAAAUCGUAGGUUGUUAUAUUACAGUACAAGUGAAAAGAGUUGUUAUUGAUUUUACAUGAAAUACAUUAAUGGGAGUAAUCAUGGCAGUACGCAGCGGUGGGGGCAGGGUUAAUUACCCGUCAAAAAAUUUGAAUACAUUUGGUUGUUUUUACUGAUUCUUCUUUUUUCAAAAUUCACCAAAGGUAUGGAUGAAAUCCUUCAAUAUCACUUUACAAAAUGCAAAAUGCUCGCUUUCAUUUUUCUUUUCAGAAAAAGUUUACACGUCCUGCCCUCAGCCAAUUUUUGCGUACGGCCAUGAAAAAAACGUAUGCAACUGACUUUACACAAAAAUGUGAACUUAUCAUCAUGCCAUGAUAACGUUGAUCUAAUUCAAAAGCGUCUCCCAGAAAAAAAGGUUUAAGCAAUCGAUUUGACAUACAUGUACAUACAGAGUUAGGGUUUAAGUUAUAAUUCGAAUCUAAAUUACAAAGACAUUUUUUUUGUGUGUCAUCAGAAGCUAUUAAAUGAUUAUCAAAAUUUAGGAUUUUCAUGUACAAAACACCCCUUCAUACAAUGCGAUUUUGAAUUAUAAAAUAUUAUUCUUGGUAAAUAUGUACCCGGUGUAUUUACUUUUCGUACUAUUCCUGAAAAUGUAACUCGGUGGUCUUCUAGUACAUUCUGUAUCGCCAUUGUCUUUCUCAUUUUUGAAUUAAUGUCUUUGAUAUCUGUGAUAUCAAAACUAAUUUCCAUUAGUGAGGUGGCUGAGGUUACGUUUAUUAAUACCAAUCCCAUUGCUACUACUUGCAGUAGAAUAUAUUUAUCUAUCAAUUUUCUUUUGUGAUAUUGGAUUUUUGAAUUUUUAUUUAUGAAUGCAUCUGGUGAUAUGGCUUGUAUUCUUUUUUAAAGUUUUAAUAAAAUCAAUAUUUAAAGUGUGAA
This is a long non-coding RNA of Lytechinus pictus (painted urchin), 2729 nucleotides long. RefSeq lists it as uncharacterized. Lineage: Eukaryota; Metazoa; Echinodermata; Echinoidea; Temnopleuroida; Toxopneustidae. The transcript is spliced from 2 exons. The record is from RefSeq and is a predicted model, not a curated record.